AAUAAUACUUAUAGCAGAGUAUUAAGAUUGGGUCAGAUGGGCAUCAAACGGAUUAUAAGAACCACAAGGAGGUCUAUUGAAUCAUACUGCAACAAGUCAAGUUUAGGAAUGAAUUAUGGAAAUCUAGAUCCUUGCCAAUUUGGAAGAUUCCUUUCCUUUCAUAGUUAAAGAAAGAAUUUGGAAGGUGAGAAGAUUCCAUCUAUCAAGCAAUACAAUGUGUCUCUUUUAUGGAUUAGCUACUGAACCAUCUCUUAUGGCAAUCAUGAAUCUUAAUAUAGAGGGAAUUUCUUGGUUGUCAUCUCUUGAGUCUCCUCCAAAAACAGAGGA
This 327-nucleotide long non-coding RNA is filed under the name Vitis vinifera (wine grape). RNAcentral's name for it is "long non-coding RNA (VVIN_LNC000194)". The record is from RNAcentral. Lineage: Eukaryota; Viridiplantae; Streptophyta; Magnoliopsida; Vitales; Vitaceae.